GUCAAGCUACAAAGGGCACAGGGUGAAUGCCUUGGCACUGGGAGCCGACGAAAGACGUGAUAAGCUGCGAAAAGCCACGGGGAGCUGCAAAUAAGCCUUGAUCCGUGGAUAUCUGAAUGGAGCAAUCCGGCGGAUGUAACGAUCCGUCAUGGCAUACUGAAUCCAUAGGUAUGUCAGGGGAACCGCCUGAACUGAAACAUCUAAGUAGGGCGAGGAAGAGAAAUCAACCGAGAUUCCGUAAGUAGUGGCGAGCGAAAGCGGAAGAGGCCAAACCGCAUGCAGCAAUGUGUGCGGGGUUGCGGACUGCAUAAGGUAUGUUGAAGUCUAGCUGAACUGUAUGGGAAGGCAGACCGGAGAGCGUGAGAGUCGCGUAAGCGAAAGACAGAGACAGCCGGCAGGAUCCAGAGUACCGCGGGACACGUGAAACCCCGUGGGAAGCCGGGGGGACCACCCUCCAAGCCUAAAUACUCCCCAGUGACCGAUAGAGAAUAGUACUGUGAAGGAAAGGUGAAAAGCACCCCGGGAGGGGAGUGAAAUAGCACCUGAAACCCUGCGCCUACAAGCACAUAGAGCACGUCAAAGUGUGAUAUGGUACCUUUUGUAGAAUGGUCCGGCGAGCGUAUGUAUGCAGCAAGGUUAAGCGCUUAAGGCGUGGAGCCGAAGGGAAACCGAGUCUGAAUAGGGCGUGAAGUUGCAUGCAUAGGGCCCGAAACCGGGUGACCUAUCCAUGUCCAGGUUGAAGUGGGAGUAAAAUCCCAUGGAGGACCGAACCGACCUCCGUUGAAAAGGCGGCGGAUGAGGUGUGGAUAGCGGAGAAAUUCCAAUCGAACCCGGAGAUAGCUGGUUCUCCCCGAAAUAGCUUUAGGGCUAGCGUUGUAUUAGAUUACCGGAGGUAAAGCACUGAAUGGGCUAGGGGCCGAGAGGUUACUGAACCCUAUCAAACUCUGAAUGCCGGAUAAUUGAUGUACAGCAGUCAGACUACGUGAGAUAAGUCUCGUGGUCGAGAGGGAAAAAGCCCAGACCCACAGCUAAGGUCCCAAAUACACGUUAAGUGGAAAAGGAUGUGGAGUUGCACAGACAACCAGGAUGUUGGCUUAGAAGCAGCCACUCAUUAAAAGAGUGCGUAAUAGCUCACUGGUCGAGUGACUCUGCGCCGAAAAUUCAACGGGGCUAAACGUGUAACCGAAGCUUGGGAUUUCAUUCACUGAACAAUGCUUUUUGUCAGGCAGGAGGGAAAGAUUUGCUGCCGAAGGCAGCUAAAUUCCCAAAAGCAAACGAGAGAGAAAGUAUUGGUCAGUGAAUGAAAUGGUAGGGGAGCGUCGUAUACGGGGUGAAGUAUGAGCGAAAGCGCAUGUGGACUGUAUACGAGUGAGAAUGCCGGAAUGAGUAGCGAGAAAUAUGUGAGAAUCAUAUUGGCCGAAAGUCUAAGGUUUCCGGAGGAAGGUUCGUCCGCUCCGGGUAAGCCGGGAGCUAAGGUGAGGCCGGAAGGCGUAGCCGAUGCACAUACGGUAGAGAUUCCGUAGCUGCCGGAGGAUUUAAGCAGAGGGACACUGUCAAAGGGUAUGACCCGGGCGUUGGUAGCCCCGGGCGAAAGGGACUGAAAUAUAGUAGGGAAGCAUACUUGGCGGCAGGCGAGAAAAGCUCUGUGAAUAUCUGAGGCACCCGUACCGCAAACCGACACAGGUAGACAGGAAGAGAAUUCUAAGGCCAACGGGAGAAGGGUUGUUAAGGAACUCGGCAAGUUGACCCCGUAACUUAGGGAAAAGGGGUGCUCCUGAAAGGGAGCCGCAGAGAAUAGGUCCAGGCGACUGUUUAGCAAAAACACAGCUCUAUGCUAAAUCGAAAGAUGACGUAUAUGGGGUGACACCUGCCCGGUGCCGGAAGGUUAAGAGGAGGAGUGAGAGCUCUGAAUUGAAGCCCCGGUAAACGGCGGCCGUAACUAUAACGGUCCUAAGGUAGCGAAAUUCCUUGUCAGGUAAGUUCUGACCCGCACGAAUGGUGUAACGAUCUGGACACUGUCUCAACAGCCCGCCCGGCGAAAUUGUAGUACCGGUGAAGAUGCCGGUUACCCGCGACAAGACGGAAAGACCCCAUGGAGCUUUACUGCAGCUUAAUAUUGGAUUUCGGUAUUUCAUGUACAGGAUAGGUGGGAGGCAGAGAAGGCAGCACGCCAGUGUUGCUGGAGCCGACGUUGGGAUACCACUCUUGAGGUGCUGAAAUUCUAACCUGCGGCCGUGAAUCCGGUCGGGGGACAGUGUUAGGCGGGCAGUUUGACUGGGGCGGUCGCCUCCAAAAAGGUAACGGAGGCGCUCAAAGGUUGGCUCAGCAUGGACGGAAACCAUGCCAAAGAGUGUAAACGCAAAAGCCAGCCUAACUGCGAGAGCGACAGUUCGAGCAGUAACGAAAGUUGGAGUUAGUGAUCCGGUGGUAUGUGAGUGGAAAUGCCAUCGCUCAACGGAUAAAAGCUACCCUGGGGAUAACAGGCUGAUCUCCCCCAAGAGUCCACAUCGUCGGGGAGGUUUGGCACCUCGAUGUCGGCUCAUCGCAUCCUGGGGCUGAAUUCGGUCCCAAGGGUUUGGCUGUUCGCCAAUUAAAGCGGUACGCGAGCUGGGUUCAGAACGUCGUGAGACAGUUCGGUCCCUAUCUGUCGUGGGCGCAGGAUAUUUGAGAGGAGCUGUCCCUAGUACGAGAGGACCGGGAUGGACGUACCUCUGGUGCACCAGUUGUCGUGCCAACGGCACAGCUGGGCAGCUAAGUACGGAUCGGAUAAACGCUGAAGGCAUCUAAGCGUGAAGCCGACCUCAAGAUAAGAUAUGCCACUGAGUAAUCAGGUAAGACCCCUUGAAGACUACAAGGUUGAUAGGCCGCAUGUGGAAGCGUCGUGAGGCGUGCAGCAAGGCGGUACUAAUCGGUCGAGGGCUUGAC
This 2925-nucleotide ribosomal RNA is filed under the name Anaerotruncus colihominis. Its description in RNAcentral is "Bacterial large subunit ribosomal RNA". It matches the Rfam family "Bacterial large subunit ribosomal RNA". The record is from RNAcentral. Lineage: Bacteria; Bacillati; Bacillota; Clostridia; Eubacteriales; Oscillospiraceae.